Molecule: unclassified non-coding RNA, 2502 nt
Filed under: Hevea brasiliensis (rubber tree)
Lineage: Eukaryota; Viridiplantae; Streptophyta; Magnoliopsida; Malpighiales; Euphorbiaceae
Source: RNAcentral
UUAUUAAACACCAACUUGUAUUCCUAUCCUCAAUAUGGUUUUCAAUUUUUAACAAAUGCAAACCUAGGGAAAAAAGAAGAGAUUCAGAACAUUGAAAGCUGAUGAUGAUCAUAAAAGCAUGGCAACCAAAAUCUAAAAUUUCUUUGAGAUAUACAAUAAAAAUUUCAUCAAUCGUUUAAAUAUGCCUUUCUCUUGUCUAUAUCUGUUCGGUUUCCUCUUUCCAGUCAACCCCUCAUGACUGAGAAAACAGAUUACCAUUUAGUUUAUCAUACUAAGGGUGGCGUCCAGCAGCUUUCCCGCAGAGUAGAGCAUUGUUAGGAAUGUCAUAUUCAUUAGCAAGGCUGUGGACUGGAGUCCAUACCCUGAGAUAUAGCUGCUGCCCAAGAUAAUUCCUCUCCCAAAUUGCAGACCUCAGGUUCCACAUACCCUGGUUGUCCAAGGAGAUCAGUAUAGCAGUCCACGAGUUUGGAUAUACCUGCAACAAAAUGAAUGCAUAUCAAGAAAUGAAAAAAUAAGAGUAAAAUACAUAUAAUCGAAUGAAAAUAGGUUCAUUAUCCUUGCACUGCUUCUAAUUACAUAGCUAAGCCGAAGGUCCAUUUCCUGGCUGCAAUUUGCAGAAUGCAUAAUGUUCAUGUAAACUGCCUAAGUUGUUACAUUAUAUGUCUAAUUUUUGGGCUAUGGAUUUUUCCACCUCCAUUCUCAAGUGGAUAAUAUCUUUGCUUUUACAAAACUAAAAUCCCUAGAACCAUGGAUUUACAGGAUUAGUUUACCUGAGCAGUGUGUCUGGUAAUUGCAUCAACUAGAUUGUAUGAGCGUCUCUUGGCUGGAGUCCACUGGCCAUUUCCAUAACCAACAACCCAAAAGUCAUAACCAUCAAGAUGCCAUGAUUGCAUGGCGUAUUCAUUGUUCUGGAAAACAACUUCAACAAAAUCAUGGAGUGAUGCUGGUAUAACAGAGGUAGCUACAUAUGCAGGACCACCAGAGGGAAGGCUUUGGAUGGAAUCCACACUGAAGACUCCCGGGAUAUUAAAGUAAUCAGCAAGCUUCAAGGGGGUAUCAGGAUUAACAUAGGAGACCCUGUUAACUGCAUAGCGCUUCUUUCCAUUUAUUAAAGGUGCUGAAUUGGCCAAGACAAUUGUCUUUUUAGGAAUUAUCUUUCCGUAGUGAAAUGAGCCCUGAGGAUUGGGCCUGGCUGCACUUGCAGUCAGAUUCCACCUGUAAGUUCUGGCUUGCCUCAUAGACCAAUCAAAUUGGCCAGUAGGAGGAGCAGGCAGGGGUCCAGAGGCUGGGGCCUUAGAGUUUGUGUAGCGUAACACUGCAGUUGCAGUGAGGACUUGCUUGGUAAAACGAGUGGAUGCAACAAUGUAGUAAUCCUUUGGAGGCUGAUUUAAAGUUACUAAGACAGCUGCAGAUUGUCCAACAUGCACAUCAAGAGAGUCAUAUAUAUUCUGGACGGUGUGAGAUCCUUCAACUUCAACCAACUUCAUCGUAUGACCCUGAAUCCUGAAGUUUAAGGAAGUUGACAAGCCCACAUUUGAGAUCCUGAACAUAUAGGUUUUACCUUGAUCACCGCUGAAUGUAGUAUGAGUCUGGCCAUUUAUGAGCACUCCAUCUGGAAGGGGAAGAGAUUUUCCUGAGUCUAAAGAUGCCUGUAAUGUCUUGUGAUUCGUCUUGUACCAAUCACCAAUAAGCAGAGUGAAAUCUCCAUCAGGGGUUGCAAAAGGGAUUGGAAUUCUAGGUCUCUCAUAUACAUUGAGUGCGCCAUACCCUCCAGCGGCUCUGUGAAGUAGAGUUGAAGGGAAGUAUGUGAAGGUACCAAUCUGAUCCUUGGUCUGGAACUUGUAAGUGUAGUUUGAGUUUGGAGGGAUGGGGCAAUUGGUUCCCAGCACUCCAUCUUGCCAAGAGUUCUUCCUUUGUUUAAUCCCAUUCCAAGUCAAGAGGAAAGGUUGGUCCAGCUUGUUGACGAGAUUGAGAACGAUAUUGUCAUUAGUGACCACAUCGAGUUGAGGACCAGGGAAUUGGCCAUUGAUAAGGAUGACCUGUUGGGCUUCACCAAGAGGAGAAAUAGUCCCAUAAGUCACAGUCCAAGUAUAAUACCUAUAUGGGUCAUCUGCAUUGACCAGAGAAACACCGAAAACAGCCAAAACUCCACAGAGUAAGCUCAGAAACAGUACUUUUCCCAUCGAAUCUGCUAAAAUUCCACAAAGUUGGUGGUUCGUUUCAGAAGCUUUUGGGUCACUGUCCAAACAAGGGAUGAUGGGUGAGGCUUAAAUAGAGGACAAGGCGCGAAAGGAGCUUCACUGGUUCAGUGUGAAAUGUGGGCUUGCAUAGCACAGAAUAACACUUAUCUUUCUUUAAACAAAUAUAUAGAAAAAAUCAUUCAAAAUGUGGGUUUGUUAAUUUGGCAUGUAUAUUUUAAGAUUGUAGAUUGUGAUGAUAUUCGGCGCAAUUCACGCGUUUCGGUGUUCAGCAAUCAUAUUUGCUUUGAACACAAGUUUUUUC